UACGGAGGGUGCAAGCGUUAUCCGGAAUCACUGGGUUUAAAGGGUGCGUAGGCGGUUUAAUAAGUCAGUGGUGAAAGGCCGUAGCUUAACUAUGGGAUUGCCAUUGAUACUGAUAGACUUGAAUCAGGCUGAGGUUGGCGGAAUGUGGCAUGUAGCGGUGAAAUGCUUAGAUAUGCCAUGGAACAUCGAUUGCGAAGGCAGCUGACUGGACCUUGAUUGACGCUGAGGCACGAAAGCGUGGGUAGCGAACAGG
This 253-nucleotide ribosomal RNA is filed under the name uncultured bacterium. RNAcentral describes it as "partial 16S ribosomal RNA". It matches the Rfam family "Bacterial small subunit ribosomal RNA", at positions 524 to 776 of the family's 1533-position model. The record is from RNAcentral.